Molecule: unclassified non-coding RNA, 341 nt
Filed under: Hevea brasiliensis (rubber tree)
Lineage: Eukaryota; Viridiplantae; Streptophyta; Magnoliopsida; Malpighiales; Euphorbiaceae
Source: RNAcentral
GUAGUCUCAUCUGAAACAGUGUAACAGUCACCACUUGUCACAACAUUGAGUUGGAGGAAGAAAUUAUUUGCCUCGCGAAAAAUGAACCCAAGAUACGAUUCCAAUGAUUUGCUCAUUCACACAAACAUUCGCACACGCAUGACAAUAUUGACAGGCAUCAAACCCAUGAGUAAACUGUAUCACUAUAGUGAAAAGGAUAUUUAUUGCACAAGUGCAGGAUAAAAAAGUAUCACAUUGCAAAAGCACCAGUUUCCAUUCACUUCCUUUGGCCCAAACCUAAAACUAUAACAUCAACAAUUUAAGGGAACUGAACAAGAAGGCCUAAUAUUAAGAAUUCUCAC